AACUAACAUUAAGUAGACAUGAAAAGUUAGCAAACUAUACAAAACACCUUCUUACCAAAUGCUUGUCGAUUCUUCAUCACUAUUAUAUAACUUGCAGUUUCCAGCAUUUUACGGAUAAAUUCUUUCUGGGUAACUUGGGCUUGAAAGGAUAAGAUAUUCUUUGUCACUAAUUACUGAAGAUUGCGAUAGAACAAAUGUUGGCGAGCAGGAUAUAGGGACGCGUCAAGAACAAACUCAGCAGCUCUCGCGGAUCUAGCGUGAUCGUUUGGGAGCCAACACGCGCCAAGGACGCCAAUGAAUUGGGGAUGAACUCCUCGGCCUCCUCCAGCCUUUCGGAUCGCGCCAGAAGAUCGACG
RNAcentral lists this long non-coding RNA (356 nucleotides) under Selaginella moellendorffii. RNAcentral's name for it is "long non-coding RNA (SMOE_LNC000952)". Lineage: Eukaryota; Viridiplantae; Streptophyta; Lycopodiopsida; Selaginellales; Selaginellaceae. The record is from RNAcentral.